This 255-nucleotide ribosomal RNA is filed under the name uncultured bacterium. RNAcentral's name for it is "partial 16S ribosomal RNA". It matches the Rfam family "Bacterial small subunit ribosomal RNA", at positions 524 to 776 of the family's 1533-position model. The record is from RNAcentral.
UACGUAGGUGGCAAGCGUUGUCCGGAUUUACUGGGCGUAAAGAGCGCGCAGGCGGUCGUUCAAGUCGCGUGUGAAAGCCCCCCGGCUCAACUGGGGAGGGUCACGCGAUACUGAUCGACUCGAAGGCAGGAGAGGGUAGUGGAAUUCCCGGUGUAGUGGUGAAAUGCGUAGAUAUCGGGAGGAACACCAGUGGCGAAGGCGACUACCUGGCCUGUUUCUUGACGCUGAGGCGCGAAAGCUAGGGGAGCGAACAGG